AUUGAACGCUGGCGGCAUGCCUUACACAUGCAAGUCGAACGGCAGCACGGGAGCAAUCCUGGUGGCGAGUGGCGAACGGGUGAGUAAUAUAUCGGAACGUGCCCAGUCGUGGGGGAUAACGUAGCGAAAGCUACGCUAAUACCGCAUACGAUCUAUGGAUGAAAGCGGGGGAUCGCAAGACCUCGCGCGAUUGGAGCGGCCGAUAUCAGAUUAGGUAGUUGGUGCGGUAAAGGCUCACCAAGCCGACGAUCUGUAGCUGGUCUGAGAGGACGACCAGCCACACUGGGACUGAGACACGGCCCAGACUCCUACGGGAGGCAGCAGUGGGGAAUUUUGGACAAUGGGCGCAAGCCUGAUCCAGCAAUGCCGCGUGCAGGAUGAAGGCCUUCGGGUUGUAAACUGCUUUUAUACAGGAAGAAACACUCCGACGUGUCGGAGCUUGACGGUACUGUAAGAAUAAGGAUCGGCUAGCUCCGUG
Molecule: ribosomal RNA, 478 nt
Filed under: uncultured bacterium
Lineage: Bacteria
Description: bacterial SSU rRNA
Rfam family: Bacterial small subunit ribosomal RNA
Source: RNAcentral